CCCCGCCCCAGCUCGCCCGGCCCCUCGGAGCGGCCUCGCUGCCCCGCCUCCCCCCUCCCCGGGCUCGAAAAUAAAUUAGCCACCCGGGGGGAAAAAGAGCAAAUGACCCUCGGUGUGAGAGUGUCCUUGCGCCACUCUCAGGCCGCUCGCCCGCUCCCGCCUCCCCUGCCGUCGGAGCGGGAAGCUGCGCUGGGGGUGGAGGCCGGACGGGCGCGGAGGCCAGGGUUGAGCUCCAGGCUGCCGUGAGUGGCCGCUGGCUGUGAGCCGCUUCCUGGGUCGAAGGGCAAAGGGGAAGGCGGCCGGCCCGGCCGGGCCCGCCCCGUCCGCUGACUGGCCAAGACCAGGACGCCUGUGGACUCUCGUCUGCGUCCAGGACUCGGACACUCUGUCCGUCUGCCGUCUCAUUGGUUGGUUGAAGACUGUGCCUCCUGAUCAACGCUUGACUCCGCCCAAAGAAGUACCACCCCUCUUCUCCUGCUCAAGGACAGCCGGAAUGACUCUGCAAACCGAGAAAGAUCUAG
RNAcentral lists this long non-coding RNA (521 nucleotides) under Cricetulus griseus (Chinese hamster). RNAcentral's name for it is "lncRNA (ENSCGRG00015036113.1)". The record is from RNAcentral. Lineage: Eukaryota; Metazoa; Chordata; Mammalia; Rodentia; Cricetidae.